This is a non-coding RNA of Schistosoma mansoni, 46 nucleotides long. NCBI's taxonomy places the organism in Eukaryota, Metazoa, Platyhelminthes, Trematoda, Strigeidida, Schistosomatidae. The record is from Rfam.
GUACUGAUGAGGAGUCUUACAAUAGGACGAAACGGCCUUCCAGUGC